AAACAUAACCUCUAGCCAAACAAAUAUUAAAGGCAACGCCUGCCCAGUGAAUAAUUAAACGGCCGCGGUACCCUAACCGUGCAAAGGUAGCAUAAUCAUUUGUCUACUAAUUAUAGACCUGUAUGAAAGGCAAAAUGAGGGUCCAACUGUCUCUUAUAGUAAAUCAAUUAAACUGAUCUCCUAGUAAAAAAGCUAGGAUCCUCCCAUAAGACCAGAAGACCCUGUGAAACUUAAACUAAACUAUUAAACCCAAUAAUAGCUACUUUCGGUUGGGGCGACCUUGGAAAAAAAAAGAACUUCCAAUACACUACCUUCCUCAAACUAAACUUUAGGCCCACAAGCCACUAAAUUAUCGACCCAGCAAAGCUGAUAAACGAACCAAGCUACUCCAGGGAUAACAGCGCAAUCUUCUUCAAGAGCCCAUAUCAAAAAGAAGGUUUACGACCUCGAUGUUGGAUCAGGACAUCCUAAUGGCGCAGCCACUAUUAAGGGUUCGUUUGUUCAACGAUUAAUAGUCCUACGUGAUCU
This 528-nucleotide ribosomal RNA is filed under the name Mastigodryas reticulatus. Its description in RNAcentral is "partial 16S ribosomal RNA". It matches the Rfam family "Bacterial large subunit ribosomal RNA", at positions 1811 to 2606 of the family's 2925-position model. The record is from RNAcentral. Lineage: Eukaryota; Metazoa; Chordata; Lepidosauria; Squamata; Colubridae.